This 72-nucleotide transfer RNA is filed under the name Hordeum vulgare. Its description in RNAcentral is "tRNA-OTHER". The record is from RNAcentral. Lineage: Eukaryota; Viridiplantae; Streptophyta; Magnoliopsida; Poales; Poaceae.
UGGGCAGUAGCAUAGUGGUUUGCUUGUGUGUGUGUGACCAGAAGGUUUGGGGUUCGAAUCCCCCAAGCCCUU